GGCCUWUUGAUUAUAAUUUUAGGUYUGACCUGCCCMUUGAGGUAUUAAAAGGCCGCGGUAUAUUGACCGUGCAAAGGUAGCAUAAUCAUUAGUUUUUUAAUUGAAAGCUGGAAUGAAGGGUUGAAUGAAAAAAUAACUGUCUCUAUUAUAAAGAUUGAAUUUUAUUUUUAAGUAAAAAAGCUUAAAUAUUAUUAAAAGACGAGAAGACCCUAUAGAGUUUUAUUUUUAUUGUUAAUUAAAAUUUUUAGUAUUUAAAGUUUUAUUAUCAAUAAUAAUUUAAUUGGGGUGAUUUAAAAAUUUAAAUAACUUUUUAUUUUUUUUUUCAUUAAUUUAUGUUUAGAUGAUCCAAAAUUUUUGAUUAUAAGAUUAAAUUACCUUAGGGAUAACAGCGUUAUUCUUUUUGAAAGUUCUUAUUGAUAAAAGAGAUUGCGACCUCGAUGUUGGAUUAAAAUUAAUUUUUGGUGUAGAAGCUAAAAAUUUUAAGUCUGUUCRACUUUUAAAAUUUUACA
This 509-nucleotide ribosomal RNA is filed under the name Placonotus zimmermanni. RNAcentral describes it as "partial 16S ribosomal RNA". The stretch from base 382 to 509 matches the Rfam family "Archaeal large subunit ribosomal RNA", at positions 2544 to 2671 of the family's 2987-position model. Lineage: Eukaryota; Metazoa; Arthropoda; Insecta; Coleoptera; Laemophloeidae. The record is from RNAcentral.